This 477-nucleotide ribosomal RNA is filed under the name uncultured bacterium. RNAcentral describes it as "partial 16S ribosomal RNA". It matches the Rfam family "Bacterial small subunit ribosomal RNA", at positions 30 to 507 of the family's 1533-position model. The record is from RNAcentral.
AUUGAACGCUGGCGGCAUGCCUUACACAUGCAAGUCGAACGGUAACAGGUUAAGCUGACGAGUGGCGAACGGGUGAGUAAUGUAUCGGAACGUGCCCAGUCGUGGGGGAUAACUGCUCGAAAGAGCAGCUAAUACCGCAUACGACCUGAGGGUGAAAGCGGGGGAUCGCAAGACCUCGCGCGAUUGGAGCGGCCGAUGUCAGAUUAGGUAGUUGGUGGGGUAAAGGCUCACCAAGCCGACGAUCGGUAGCUGGUCUGAGAGGACGACCAGCCACACUGGGACUGGGACACGGCCCAGACUCCUACGGGAGGCAGCAGUGGGGAAUUUUGGACAAUGGGCGCAAGCCUGAUCCAGCCAUGCCGCGUGCGAGAAGAAGGCCUUCGGGUUGUAAACCGCUUUUGUCAGUGAAGAAAAGGUUCUGGCUAAUACCUGGGACUCAUGACGGUACCUGAAGAAUAAGCACCGGCUAACUACGUG